GACUACUGGCAGGAUCAACCAGGUAGCAUUCACUCUUAGACCUCGGUGCAACCCACAGACGAGCGCGGAACGAAAGGGCUCCACGAGCUCCGAGGAAAGCACGAGGGUCGCCCGAGCGGAAGCAUAGCUUCGCCACGUGGAGAUCGCACGGUCAGAGAAGGCCAGCGCGAUAACCACGGUUAUCACCAUACCCGUGAGCAUGCUGACGGCAUCGACCCACCGACGAGGACAAAACCGCCCAGGAGAUGGACGGCCGACCGGUAGGAGAGCGCCGACGCCCGCAGGAGCCUCCCAACGCACAGGAUGCGGAGGAGAGGCGAUGAAAGCGAGACAUGGACAACUAAAAGGCCCGUGACCGUAAUCGGGUAUCAAACACAGCAACCCACCCAACGCACGCGACCAAAACUAGGGACGGGCGAACAAAUGAAAUGGACAGCCCACAGCAGUUCGGUGCCCAAAGCACGGAGCCUGCCACGGGUAAAUAUCCCGA
Molecule: unclassified non-coding RNA, 490 nt
Filed under: Chaetolepis gentianoides
Lineage: Eukaryota; Viridiplantae; Streptophyta; Magnoliopsida; Myrtales; Melastomataceae
Description: partial contains external transcribed spacer and 18S ribosomal RNA
Source: RNAcentral